GAAUCCCUCACCGAAACCCCCGGUAGAACCGGGGGCUGAUUUGCCGUUUGGUGUUGAUAUGCCAAACGGUAUGACAGCCCCCGACUAUGUCGGGGGUUUGGGUGAGGGGUUCCGGACAGCGGCGAAAGGGAGAGUAACGCGUAGUUACGUACCCCGAGGACCGGAAUAGCUGCGGGAAACUGCAGGUAAUGCCGGAUAAUGUCUUCGGACCAAAGGUGUGAUUCCACCUCGGGAGCGGACUGCGUCGUACUAGCUAGUUGGUAGGGUAAUGGCCUACCAAGGCGAUGAUGCGUAGCGGGUGUGAGAGCAUGACCCGUCUCACUGGGACUGAGACACUGCCCAGACACCUACGGGUGGCUGCAGUCGAGAAUCUUCGGCAAUGCGCGCAAGCGUGACCGAGCGACGCCGCGUGCGGGAUGAAGGCCUUCGGGUUGUAAACCGCUUUCGGUUGGGAGGAAAUUGGUGGGGGUUCUCCCCCAUCAUUGACCUAUCUUCGGAAGAAGGACGGGCUAAGUUCGUGCCAGCAGCCGCGGUAAUACGAACCGUCCAAACGUUAUUCGGAAUUAUUGGGCUUAAAGGGUAUGUAGGCGGCGCUGUUAGUCGGGUGUGAAAUCCCUCGGCUCAACCGAGGAAUUGCGCCCGAAACUGCAGUGCUUGAGGGAGACAGAGGUAAGCGGAACUGAUGGUGGAGCGGUGAAAUGCGUUGAUAUCAUCAGGAACACCGGUGGCGAAAGCGGCUUACUGGGUCUCUUCUGACGCUGAAAUACGAAAGCUAGGGGAGCGAAGGGGAUUAGAUACCCCCGUAGUCCUAGCUGUAAACGAUGAGCACUUGGUUCGGGGACCCCCUCAUAGGUUCUCGGCCGUACCGAAAGUGUCAAGUGCUCCGC
Molecule: ribosomal RNA, 887 nt
Filed under: uncultured Pirellula sp.
Lineage: Bacteria; Pseudomonadati; Planctomycetota; Planctomycetia; Pirellulales; Pirellulaceae
Description: bacterial SSU rRNA
Rfam family: Bacterial small subunit ribosomal RNA
Source: RNAcentral